GAUGAACGCUGACAGAAUGCUUAACACAUGCAAGUCAACUUGAAUUUGGGUUUUUAACUUAGGUUUGGGUGGCGGACGGGUGAGUAACGCGUAAAGAACUUGCCUCACAGCUAGGGACAACAUUUGGAAACGAAUGCUAAUACCUAAUAUUAUGAUAAUAGGGCAUCCUAUAAUUAUGAAAGCUAUAAGCGCUGUGAGAGAGCUUUGCGUCCCAUUAGCUAGUUGGAGAGGUAACGGCUCACCAAGGCGAUGAUGGGUAGCCGGCCUGAGAGGGUGAUCGGCCACAAGGGGACUGAGACACGGCCCUUACUCCUACGGGAGGCAGCAGUGGGGAAUAUUGGACAAUGGACCAAGAGUCUGAUCCAGCAAUUCUGUGUGCACGAUGAAGUUUUUCGGAAUGUAAAGUGCCUUCAGUUGGGAAGAAAGAAAUGACGGUACCAACAGAAGAAGUGACGGCUAAAUACGUG
This 467-nucleotide ribosomal RNA is filed under the name uncultured bacterium. RNAcentral describes it as "partial 16S ribosomal RNA". It matches the Rfam family "Bacterial small subunit ribosomal RNA", at positions 28 to 507 of the family's 1533-position model. The record is from RNAcentral.